AAAAAAAAAAAAAAAAACUACCUUCAAGCAUGUAUGAAAACAAUGAAGUUUAAGAACUGGAAUAUAGAGGAAUACAUCCUGACUGCAUUAAGGUAAAAUAUUUUGUGCAACAUCUUGCCAUGUAAUACAGAACUUGCAAAAUUUACUAUUAAAUCCUACUUGCAUGACUUAUAAGGAAAAUAUUUUAGCCAAAAGAGGGAAUCACCCAAGUCCUUAAUCUGAAACUGGGUCAAUAUGACAGCAGGAACAUAAGCCUCAAGUGGAUCAAGCUUUUUC
RNAcentral lists this unclassified non-coding RNA (276 nucleotides) under Hevea brasiliensis (rubber tree). The record is from RNAcentral. Lineage: Eukaryota; Viridiplantae; Streptophyta; Magnoliopsida; Malpighiales; Euphorbiaceae.